This 460-nucleotide ribosomal RNA is filed under the name uncultured bacterium. RNAcentral describes it as "partial 16S ribosomal RNA". It matches the Rfam family "Bacterial small subunit ribosomal RNA", at positions 338 to 795 of the family's 1533-position model. The record is from RNAcentral.
CCUACGGGUGGCAGCAGUGAGGAAUAUUGUUCAAUGGACGAGAGUCUUAACCAGCCAAGUAGCGUGAAGGAUGACUGCCCUAUGUUUUGUAACCUUCUUUUAUCAAGGAAUAAAACUAGGCACGUGUUCCUGUAUGCAUGUACUUUAUGAAUAAGCAUCGGCUACCUCCGUGCCAGCAGCCGCGGUAAUACGGAGGAUUCGAGCGUUAUCCGGCUUUAUUGGGUUUAAAGGGUGCUUAGGUGGGUUGUUAAGUUAGUUGUGAAAGUUUGUGGCUCAACCGUAAAAUUGCACUUGAUACUGGCAGUCUUGAGUACAGUUGAGGUAUGCGGAAUGCGGGGUGUAGCGGUGAAAUGCAUAGAUAUCACGCAGAACCCCGAUUGCGAAGGCAGCAUACCGGUGCAAAACUGACGCUGAGGCACGAAAGCGUGGGUAUCGAACAGGAUUAGAUACCCCGGUAGUC